CCGGGGCUAAUACCGGAUGCUUGAUUGAGCCGCAUGGUUCAAUUAUAAAAGGUGGCUUUCAGCUACCACUUACAGAUGGACCCGCGGCGCAUUGGCUAGUUGGUGAGGUAACGGCUCACCAAGGCGACGAUGCGUAGCCGACCUGAGAGGGUGAUCGGCCACACUGGGACUGAGACACGGCCCAGACUCCUACGGGAGGCAGCAGUAGGGAAUCUUCCGCAAUGGACGAAAGUCUGACGGAGCAACGCCGCGUGAGUGAUGAAGGUUUUCGGAUCGUAAAACUCUGUUGUUAGGGAAGAACAAGUACCGUUCGAAUAGGGCGGCACCUUGACGGUACCUAACCAGAAAGCCACGGCUAACUACGUGCCAGCAGCCGCGGUAAUACGUAGGUGGCAAGCGUUGUCCGGAAUUAUUGGGCGUAAAGCGCGCGCAGGCGGUUUCUUAAGUCUGAUGUGAAAGCCCCCGGCUCAACCGGGGAGGGUCAUUGGAAACUGGGGAACUUGAGUGCAGAAGAGGAGAGUGGAAUUCCACGUGUAGCGGUGAAAUGCGUAGAGAUGUGGAGGAACACCAGUGGCGAAGGCGACUCUCUGGUC
This 593-nucleotide ribosomal RNA is filed under the name uncultured Bacilli bacterium. Its description in RNAcentral is "bacterial SSU rRNA". It matches the Rfam family "Bacterial small subunit ribosomal RNA", at positions 157 to 734 of the family's 1533-position model. Lineage: Bacteria; Bacillati; Bacillota; Bacilli. The record is from RNAcentral.